UACGGAGGAUCCAAGCGUUAUCCGGAUUCAUUGGGUUUAAAGGGUGCGUAGGCGGAAGGGUAAGUCAGUGGUGAAAUCCUGCAGCUUAACUGCAGAACUGCCAUUGAUACUGCUCAUCUUGAGUACGUUUGAUGUGGGCGGAAUGUGUCAUGUAGCGGUGAAAUGCUUAGAUAUGACACAGAACACCGAUUGCGAAGGCAGCUCACAAAGCCGUAACUGACGCUGAGGCACGAAAGCGUGGGGAGCGAACAGG
Molecule: ribosomal RNA, 253 nt
Filed under: uncultured bacterium
Lineage: Bacteria
Description: partial 16S ribosomal RNA
Rfam family: Bacterial small subunit ribosomal RNA
Source: RNAcentral